AUUGAACGCUGGCGGCAGGCCUAACACAUGCAAGUCGAACGAGUGGCGGACGGGUGAGUAAUGUCUGGGAAACUGCCUGAUGGAGGGGGAUAACUACUGGAAACGGUAGCUAAUACCGCAUACCAUCAGAUGUGCCCAGAUGGGAUUAGCUAGUUGGUGGGGUAACGGGUCACCAAGGCGACGAUCCCUAGCUGGUCUGCGAGGAUGACCAGCCACACUGGAACUGAGACACGGUCCAGACGCGUACGUGAGGCAGCAGUGGGGAAGAUGGCACAAUGGGAGGAAGCCUGAGGCAGCCAUGCCGAGUGUAUGAAGAAGGCCUUCGGGUUGUAAAGUACUGUCAGCGGGGAGGCGUUACCCGCAGAAGAAGCACCGGCUAACACCGUGCCAGCAGCCGCGGUAGUUC
Molecule: ribosomal RNA, 406 nt
Filed under: uncultured bacterium
Lineage: Bacteria
Description: partial 16S ribosomal RNA
Rfam family: Bacterial small subunit ribosomal RNA
Source: RNAcentral